This 984-nucleotide long non-coding RNA is filed under the name Equus caballus (horse). Its description in RNAcentral is "lncRNA (ENSECAG00000049005.1)". The record is from RNAcentral. Lineage: Eukaryota; Metazoa; Chordata; Mammalia; Perissodactyla; Equidae.
GUCAGGUCUCCCCAUCAAGGCUCCCCAGGCAGCUUGGCCACUAAGGGACUCUGGGGAAGUCAGGCCUGUGGCCCUGGGAGGAAGGAAAACUCAGAGAUGGGUCAGCUGAGGAGGCAGAGAGCAGUCAUUUUGAAUAACUAGGUGAAGCCACUCCAUGAGCUGUCAUUCAAGAGGGCUGCAGCCACCCCCAGUCUUCAGGUUUCUCUGAAGCUCCUGUCCCCUAAGGUUGCCCCAGGUUGGCUGGUGGCUCCCCAGUCAUGGUGGGAUUUCAGAGGCUCUGACAUACGUCUUCCCCCAACCUGGAACACCACACCACCUUCCGGCCCAGGUCUGAAUCCCUCACGUUAAAUUCACACUCUGCCUUAGUGGCUGGAUGCUCAUCAAAGGAGACACGCACAGCCCCGGGGGGCUCGAGGGCCCCUCCGUGAGUCGUCACGGGUUGACGGGUACAGACAAGUAUGACAAACCCUUUCCUGAGAGCCUGUUUGGACUGCAACGGGGAGAAGGUGCCUCCACAGCAUGGCUGACAAGUGGAGCGGGUCCACGCCCAGGAUCUGAACCCUGGCUGACGAAGUGGAGUGCUCAGAACUUUAACCACUUGGUCCCGGGGCUGGCCGGCCCCCAAAAGAGGUCUUCACUUUGCAGAAGAAAAAGCUGAAACUUGAAGAGGUUGCCUAAAGACACUGAACAUUUUGGGGGGAAGGCAGCAAAGAGCACAACUUUUGGAGUCCCCUGGACCUGGAUUCAAAUCCCACCUCUGCCACUCACUUCCCUGUGGCCUUAGACAAGGUACGUAACUUGUUGGGUCCUGCUUCUCUAAAGUGGCAAUCAUAGCAGAUAACGUGCAGAGUGUCUUAGUUAACAUCUUCUUUAGUUGCAGGUGGCAGAGACCCAACUUGAACUGGUGGAGAAUGCUGGGGACAUAACAGAGCAACCAUGGCUGGGUCACAAAAGGGGCCCCUGGAGACAGGAGUCAUUUGGUGC